GACGAGUCGGGUCGUGCCCAGAUACUGAACAUCCACACAGCCAAAAUGAGGCAGUCCAACAAGUUAGCAAGUGACGUUGACAUUGAGGAGCUGGCCAACAUGACCCAGAACUUCACUGGGGCAGACUUAGCAGGACUUGUCCGAGCGGCACAGUCCCGUGCUUCAAGCCGUGUCAUCAAGUUCAGUAAUAACCAGGUGGGGGGGACACUAAAAAGCUCCAGUCGCUGCAGGUCACCCGAAGUGACUUCUUUGAGGCGUUGAAAAAGGACAUCAAACCUAUAGACUGGACUGAAAAGGAGGAUCUAAAAGACUGGGAAGAUGAUGAAGAAUGCGACCUGCUGGUGGAGGACCUUAUUCAGUGCCCACCGAUUUUAAACAAGGAAGAAGCAGAAGAAGUAGAAGUAGGAGAAGAACAAGUAGUAGUAGAAGAAGAAUCAGUAGAAGA
This is a long non-coding RNA of Clarias gariepinus (North African catfish), 445 nucleotides long. RefSeq lists it as uncharacterized. Lineage: Eukaryota; Metazoa; Chordata; Actinopteri; Siluriformes; Clariidae. The transcript is spliced from 3 exons. The record is from RefSeq and is a predicted model, not a curated record.